RNAcentral lists this ribosomal RNA (484 nucleotides) under uncultured bacterium. RNAcentral describes it as "partial 16S ribosomal RNA". It matches the Rfam family "Bacterial small subunit ribosomal RNA", at positions 30 to 507 of the family's 1533-position model. The record is from RNAcentral.
AUUGAACGCUGGCGGCAGGCCUAACACAUGCAAGUCGAGCGGAAGAAGGGAGCUUGCUCCUGGAUUCCGCGGCGGACGGGUGAGUAUUGCCCAUGAAUCUGCCUGGUAGUGGGGGAUAACGUCCGGAAACGGGCGCUAAUACCGCAUACGUCCUGCGGGAGAAAGAGGGGGAUCUUCGGACCUCACGCUCUCAGAUGAGCCUAGGUCGGAUUAGCUAGUUGGUGGGGUAAAGGCCUACCAAGGCGACGAUCCGUAACUGGUCUGAGAGGAUGAUCAGUCACACUGGAACUGGGACACGGUCCAGACUCCUACGGGAGGCAGCAGUGGGGAAUAUUGGACAAUGGGCGAAAGCCUGAUCCAGCCAUGCCGCGUGUGUGAAGAAGGUCUUCGGAUUGUAAAGCACUUUAAGUUGGGAGGAAGGGCAGUAAGUUAAUACCUUGCUGUUUUGACGGUACCAGCAGAAUAAGCACCGGCUAACUUCGUG